This 551-nucleotide ribosomal RNA is filed under the name uncultured fungus. Its description in RNAcentral is "eukaryotic LSU rRNA". It matches the Rfam family "Eukaryotic large subunit ribosomal RNA", at positions 71 to 647 of the family's 3401-position model. The record is from RNAcentral. Lineage: Eukaryota; Fungi.
GGGAUUCCCCUAGUAACGGCGAGUGAAGCGGGAACAGCUCAAAUUUGAAAUCUGGCCCUCGGGUCCGAAUUGUAAUUUGCAGAGGAUGCUUUUGGUUAGGUACUUUCCGAGUUCCCUGGAACGGGACGCCUUAGAGGGUGAGAGCCCCGUACGGUUGGAUACCGAGCCUUUGUAAAGCUCCUUCGACGAGUCGAGUAGUUUGGGAAUGCUGCUCUAAAUGGGAGGUAAAUUUCUUCUAAAGCUAAAUACCGGCCAGAGACCGAUAGCGCACAAGUAGAGUGAUCGAAAGAUGAAAAGCACUUUGAAAAGAGGGUUAAAUAGCACGUGAAAUUGUUGAAAGGGAAGCGUUUAUGACCAGACUUUUUCCAGGCGGAUCAUCCGGUGUUCUCACCGGUGCACUUCGUCUGGUUGAGGCCAGCAUCGGUUUUCGUAGAGGGAUAAAAGCAGUAGGAAUGUGGUUCCUCCGGGAAUGUUAUAGCCUAUUGUAUAAUACCUUUAUGGGGACCGAGGUUCGCGCUCUGCAAGGAUGCUGGCGUAAUGGUCAUCAACGA